RNAcentral lists this long non-coding RNA (244 nucleotides) under Lathyrus oleraceus (garden pea). RNAcentral describes it as "Pisum sativum (pea) long non-coding RNA (PSAT_LNC037820)". The record is from RNAcentral. Lineage: Eukaryota; Viridiplantae; Streptophyta; Magnoliopsida; Fabales; Fabaceae.
AAAUACAGAAUAAUGUGUAUUAAAAUGCUUAGGAAAAUAUGAUAAAUAAAGGCAAUUAGGUAACACUAACAUUUGAUUACAAAAUUAAAAGAUUAAAAAAAAAUUGAUUUUAAAUAAAAACUAAAAAUAUAUUAACUUUGUUAAGUGUUAGAAACAAAAUAGAAAAUCAAAACUUUAAUUUAGCCUAAGUUGUGUUCAUUUUAUUUAUAUAUUAAAUAAUGAGUAAAAUUUAAAAGCGACUUUG